Long non-coding RNA from Poecilia latipinna (sailfin molly), 608 nucleotides. RefSeq lists it as uncharacterized. The transcript has 2 exons. The record is from RefSeq and is a predicted model, not a curated record. Lineage: Eukaryota; Metazoa; Chordata; Actinopteri; Cyprinodontiformes; Poeciliidae.
GGCCUACUCUUUCAGGGAUUCGAUUUUCUAAGGAUUGUCUACGGCGGGGAAAGUGACCUGGAGUCCAUGAAAGCAGAAAUAUCUGCCUAAAGAUACUGUGACUGCUUGGACACCUGUCACAUCCAACUGCACUGCCAGGAAAGCUUGCUGAUGGAGGGAGAACAGAGCUUUGGCAGCAUCACAGCAAGGUGUUCAAGGGUAAUGUUAGCAUCAGUUUUCUAUUCUUUUGUUCCUCAUUGCUAAGUGCUCUUUCCUCUCCAAGAAUCAGCUAUUCUCUUUUCCAAAAUGUAUUCCUGUCCAGUGUUUUACAUUGUACCAAAUCCAUUCUGUAUAUAAUUCAAAUCUCUGUCUUGGGAUAAUGACAGUUGUUCUCUAUUGAUAGUAAAAUAAUUGCUUGGGGAAAAUGCUCAGAGAAGGAUUACGCUCUAAAAAAUAGCUUUUUGUCUUCUAUUCAGUUUAAUCCUUCAGAAUCACUUAUGUACUGUGCUGAUUCAUCAUUUUUUGCUCCCCACAGAGCUUUCUAUGACUGUGCAGCAGGGGUGCAUUCAAGUGCAGCUUGCAAAAAAACAUAAACUACACAUAGUUUUAUGCACUACGUGGAGUGGGGG